Molecule: ribosomal RNA, 253 nt
Filed under: uncultured bacterium
Lineage: Bacteria
Description: partial 16S ribosomal RNA
Rfam family: Bacterial small subunit ribosomal RNA
Source: RNAcentral
UACGAAGGGGGCUAGCGUUGCUCGGAAUCACUGGGCGUAAAGCGCACGUAGGCGGCUUCUUAAGUCAGGGGUGAAAUCCUGGAGCUCAACUCCAGAACUGCCUUUGAUACUGUCGAUCUGGAGUAUGGAAGAGGUGAGUGGAAUUCCGAGUGUAGAGGUGAAAUUCGUAGAUAUUCGGAGGAACACCAGUGGCGAAGGCGGCUCACUGGUCCAUUACUGACGCUGAGGUGCGAAAGCGUGGGGAGCAAACAGG